Long non-coding RNA from Choloepus didactylus (southern two-toed sloth), 1014 nucleotides. RefSeq lists it as uncharacterized. The record is from RefSeq and is a predicted model, not a curated record. NCBI's taxonomy places the organism in Eukaryota, Metazoa, Chordata, Mammalia, Pilosa, Megalonychidae. The transcript is spliced from 3 exons.
UUUCAUUAUUUUUUUUUUCCGAGAGAGGUGUGACUUCUCCACCAGAACGGCGCAGCCCGCUGCGCCGCGACACCUCGCCUUCUCCCAAGCCCAUGCGCCCCCGCGGUCACCCGGCCGCUUACACGUGGGGAGGGUGCAACAAAAGGCCAGGCGGAAGGGAGCGCUGGCGUGGGUCAGGUAGACCGCACCUGGCGUCGCACGGGAUGGGGCGUGCCUCACAGCACCCUAACCUCAUCCACCCACUCAUCACCCCCUUGGCGGAAGCGCGCACAGAUGUCCCAUGACACGGGAGGUUCGGAGGGCUCAGGCAGUUGGGGAGGGAUUUCCCUAGUUCGGUGCUUCCCCUUUUCCUCCUUUUUCCUGUCUGCGGCCUCCUCUGGUCUUCUCUCCCUCCCUUCCUCUCUCUCUCUCUCUCUCUCUCUCUCUCUCACACACACACACACACACACACACACACACACACACACACACACACUACAGUCCUCGGGGGAGGGGGAGAGUCUAAUUUCCGUGUUCCUUCUUUCUUUGCAGAGCCCUCACGCGAGGAAGGAUGUAGUGCGUGGAUUGGGGGGGGGGGUAGGGGAAGGAAAGGACAGUGACCCAGCCCUUCGGAGUCCCCCAAAUCAGAGUGAGGCAUCGCCUGUUUUCGCUUCGUAGACAAUAAGGCCAAGCAGCACGCAACAGCAACCUGUCGAGCCUGGCUUGAUAACGGAUCCUUUGUCCAAGUCUUCAUGCAUCCAAGAUCAAGAGGGUACUUAGAGAACAAGUCAACUGCUUAGCUAGUAUUCUUGAUUUGGACUUGUAGAUUUUACUUGGUUUUACUCAGCCCAUUUUCCAUCAAAACCCACUAAAAGCCAAGACUUUAAAAAUUACUUCUUACUUCCAAUUCAGAAUUCAGUUCUAGAAAUUUGUGAAGAUGUGGAGAAGAAACCAGCACUCUUUUAUUCUAGAAGCAUCUACUUAUAAAUUAAUUAUAAAAUUGAAUAUAUGGUAAAACCUCAUACCACCCAAAAG